This 492-nucleotide ribosomal RNA is filed under the name uncultured bacterium. RNAcentral's name for it is "partial 16S ribosomal RNA". It matches the Rfam family "Bacterial small subunit ribosomal RNA", at positions 29 to 507 of the family's 1533-position model. The record is from RNAcentral.
AGUGAACGCUGGCGGUAGGCCUAACACAUGCAAGUCGAACGGCAGCACAGUAAGAGCUUGCUCUUACGGGUGGCGAGUGGCGGACGGGUGAGGAAUACAUCGGAAUCUACUUUUUUGUGGGGGAUAACGUAGGGAAACUUACGCUAAUACCGCAUACGACCUACGGGUGAAAGCAGGGGAUCUUCGGACCUUGCGCGAUUGAAUGAGCCGAUGUCGGAUUAGCUAGUUGGCGGGGUAAAGGCCUACCAAGGCGACGAUCCGUAGCUGGUCUGAGAGGAUGAUCAGCCACACUGGAACUGAGACACGGUCCAGACUCCUACGGGAGGCAGCAGUGGGGAAUAUUGGACAAUGGGCGCAAGCCUGAUCCAGCCAUACCGCGUGGGUGAAGAAGGCCUUCGGGUUGUAAAGCCCUUUUGUUGGGAAAGAAAAGCAGCAGGUUAAUACCCCGCUGUUCUGACGGUACCCAAAGAAUAAGCACCGGCUAACUUCGUG